GAUGAAGAACGUAGCGAAAUGCGAUAAGUAAUGUGAAUUGCAGAAUUCAGUGAGUCAUCGAAUCUUUGAACGCACAUUGCGCCCGCCAGUAUUCUGGCGGGCAUGCCUGUUCGAGCGUCAUUACAACCCUCAGGCCCCCGGGCCUGGCGUUGGGGAUCGGCGGAGCCCCCCGUGGGCACACGCCGUCCCCCAAAUGCAGUGGCGGUCCCGCCGCAGCUUCCAUCGCGUAGUAGCUAACACCUCGCGACUGGAGAGCGGCGCGGCCACGCCGUAAAACACCCAACUCUUCUGAAGUUGACCUCGAAUCAGGUAGGAAUACCCGCUGAACUUAAGCAUAUCAAUAAGCGGAGGA
This 352-nucleotide unclassified non-coding RNA is filed under the name soil metagenome. RNAcentral's name for it is "partial contains 5.8S ribosomal RNA, internal transcribed spacer 2, and large subunit ribosomal RNA". The stretch from base 1 to 120 matches the Rfam family "5.8S ribosomal RNA", at positions 35 to 154 of the family's 154-position model. The record is from RNAcentral.